GCUAAUACCGCAUGAGACUACAGAGCUGCAUGGCUCAGUGGUCAAAGGAGCAAUCCGCUGAAAGAUGGACUCGCGUCCGAUUAGAUAGUAGGCGGGGUAACGGCCCACCUAGUCGACGAUCGGUAGCCGGACUGAGAGGUUGAACGGCCACAUUGGGACUGAGACACGGCCCAGACUCCUACGGGAGGCAGCAUG
RNAcentral lists this ribosomal RNA (195 nucleotides) under uncultured bacterium. RNAcentral's name for it is "partial 16S ribosomal RNA". It matches the Rfam family "Bacterial small subunit ribosomal RNA", at positions 162 to 353 of the family's 1533-position model. The record is from RNAcentral.